AACGCACAUUGCGCCCCCUGGUAUUCCGGGGGGCACACCUGUUCGAGCGCCAUUUCAACCCUGGAGCCCUGCUCUGUGAUGGGCCCCGUCCUCAGGGACGGGCCCGAAACCCGUGGGCGCCUCCGUAAGGCCCUGAGCGUAGCAAGAGAAAUCCCUCGCUCGGAGUGCCCUAUAGCGGCCGCCCCGAACCAUCUUAAAAGGUUGGCCUCGGAUCAGGUGGGGAUACCCGCUGAACUUAAGCAUAUCAAUAAGCGGAGGACUCAGAGUUGUCACACGUCACUGUGAGUCAUCGAGUCUUUGAACGCACAUUGCGCCCCCUGGUAUUCCGGGGGGCACACCUGUUCGAGCGCCAUUUCAACCCUGGAGCCCUGCUCUGCGAUGGGCCCCGUCCUCAGGGACGGGCCCGAAACCCGUGGGCGCCUCCGUAAGGCCCUGAGCGUAGCAAGAGAAAUCCCUCGCUCGGAGUGCCCUAUGGCGGCCGCCCCGAACCAUCUCAAAAGGUUGGCCUCGGAUCAGGUGGGGAUACCCGCUGAACUUAA
This 539-nucleotide unclassified non-coding RNA is filed under the name uncultured fungus. RNAcentral describes it as "partial contains 5.8S ribosomal RNA, internal transcribed spacer 2, and large subunit ribosomal RNA". Lineage: Eukaryota; Fungi. The record is from RNAcentral.